Molecule: long non-coding RNA, 622 nt
Organism: Choloepus didactylus (southern two-toed sloth)
Lineage: Eukaryota; Metazoa; Chordata; Mammalia; Pilosa; Megalonychidae
Exons: 2
Source: RefSeq, a predicted model, not a curated record
GGCGGAGUGUCAGGUUUAGUUUUCUGCUCCUCCUCCCCUUCCUGCCGCAUUCACAGCAGGAUCCUGACUCUCAGCUUCUUGCCCUUUCCAGAAUCAGCAAAUACAUCCAGACAUACCUCUUUAAGAUGCCUGACCCUGAAAUAACUGACCUUUCACCAUCAUCUCUCAACAAAUAAUUCAACGUGUUCUCCACCAACAGAAAAAAGCUGACCCAGUUGACUAUGCUGUUGAAUGAGAAACUUGAUGUUUUGUAUUGAACAAAAGGAAGGACUGACCAAGAUUAAUUUUGUCUGUCUUGACCAAGCUGCCAGCCUUGUUCCUUGCACGUCCCUAUUCGUUGCAUCCCAGCCCUGACUACCUUGAAACCAAUCUUGCAGCUAUAGGACUGCAGAGAAAACCAACUUAGAUUGCAGGGGAGAAAAAGGGAAAAUGGACAACAACAGAUGCUAACUAUUCCAAAUUAUCAGCCUCGCCCGAGUUCCCCCUCCCCUCUUUCCCCAUGGCCUAAUAGUGCUUUUUCACUGCUCUUGUCCUGACUAUAAAACUCAACCACCCCUCUGCCUUCUUGAGAACUGAGGUCUACUCAAAGUAGCUAUAAAUAAUGUCUUCUUUGCUCAUUUAA